Molecule: small nucleolar RNA, 176 nt
Filed under: Jaculus jaculus (lesser Egyptian jerboa)
Lineage: Eukaryota; Metazoa; Chordata; Mammalia; Rodentia; Dipodidae
Description: Small nucleolar RNA SNORA73 family (ENSJJAG00000006282.1)
Rfam family: Small nucleolar RNA SNORA73 family
About the family: U17 (SNORA73A and SNORA73B) also known as E1 belongs to the H/ACA class of small nucleolar RNAs (snoRNAs). Vertebrate U17 is intron-encoded and ranges in length from 200-230 nucleotides, longer than most snoRNAs.
Source: Rfam by way of RNAcentral
CUAACAUGGAUAUCUCAGGAGGUCACUCUCGCUGGAUUCUGUCCAUGUGGCACAGGGAAGCACAGGGAUCCACCCCAUGAUGUACAGUCCCUUUUGAGUCUGCAUCUGCAGAUUCCUACAACUUCUCAGAGUCCUGCUGAUGAUGACUGAGGACACAAACCGUGCAGGAAACAUUG